UACGUAGGAGGCAAGCGUUGUCCGGAAUUACUGGGCGUAAAGCGCGUGUAGGUGGUGGGACAAGUCUGCUGUGAAAGCGCCUGGCUUAACCGGGCGAGGUCGGCGGAAACUGUUCGACUCGAGGACGGUAGAGGGGGGUGGAAUUCCCGGUGUAGUGGUGAAAUGCGUAGAGAUCGGGAGGAACACCUGUGGCGAAGGCGGCCCCCUGGGCCGGCCCCGACACUGAGACGCGAAGGCGUGGGGAGCGAACGGG
Molecule: ribosomal RNA, 253 nt
Filed under: uncultured bacterium
Lineage: Bacteria
Description: partial 16S ribosomal RNA
Rfam family: Bacterial small subunit ribosomal RNA
Source: RNAcentral